UACAGAGGGUGCGAGCGUUAAUCGGAUUUACUGGGCGUAAAGGGCGCGUAGGUGGUAAAGCAAGUACGAUGUGAAAGCCCUGGGCUUAACCUGGGAAGUGCAUCUUAAACUGCUUAACUAGAGUAUGGUAGAGGGUAGUGGAAUUUCCGGUGUAGCGGUGAAAUGCGUAGAGAUCGGAAGGAACGCCAGUGGUGAAGACGACUACCUGGAUCAAUACUGACACUGAGGCGCGAAAGCGUGGGGAUCAAACAGG
RNAcentral lists this ribosomal RNA (253 nucleotides) under uncultured bacterium. Its description in RNAcentral is "partial 16S ribosomal RNA". It matches the Rfam family "Bacterial small subunit ribosomal RNA", at positions 524 to 776 of the family's 1533-position model. The record is from RNAcentral.